AAGUCAGCUACAUGUAUAAAUGGAAAUUUCUGGGUUUUGGGAAAAGUCGACAUCCUUGAUUUCAAGAGCAUAACAGUUCAUUCUUUAAUGAUGUUAUUUUGUUGUGGUAUUAGUUUUAUACUGUGUUACAUGUUCACGUAUAAUCUAGACAUCUUUUACAAAAUUUUCAAGUUGACAAGCACAUGUAGCAGGUCGUUUUGUCUCCUCCUUCUCCUGCCGUGUCUAGGUCAUCCAGACACGUACCCACCCUGGGGCAGGUCAGAGGAGCGCUCCUUGGCUACCCAGGAAGAGGCAGGAAUAGAACCACUGGAGACGGGGGAAACAAAGUGUAUGCCACAAAGAUACUGCCGGUGAGAAACAGAAAGUGACAAUUUUCAAAGUCAUUUUAGACCAGACCCAUUUGCUUGUAUGGACGUGUGUGUGUUUACAACAGCCAUGCUCCCCCCGGCAAAGUAAAAUACACUGGAAAUGGGGGAGUAUGGCGUAGGGUGGGGUGAAGAAGAACGUGGCAAUGUUUUCAGUUCCUGAAUAACAGUCCCCGACUCGCCAGUGAGACACUGGACCACAGGCAGGAUGAAUGUUUGGGUCUGGACAACCGACUCCGUUGGUUGAUUUUGCUACCUUGGCCCAAACAAGCAUGUCCACUAUCUUUCUUCUUGCUCCUGAAUCUCGGCAUGAUCAAGUAUCAAGAGACAAGCAAGCAGCCAAAUGGAGCAAAGAGAAGAGCGAUCAUUGCAAAGAAUUCCUGUGGGGUUCACUGGGGUUUUCAGAAAGCAAGGGAUGCUCAUGGUUGUGAGUGGACGUCCGACUUACCUGCUGUAGGUGAAGGUGGUUCUUCCUACAGAACGCUCUCUCCAGAAAGACAUCCCCUCUCUGGGACGUGAGGUGGAGUAGAAGGACUAACCAUCUAAAAUUGUCAGCUAUGUCAUUUCUUUUCAGCAUUAACUCAUUUCAGCCUGAAAAUCUUGACAAUGCAAAUUUGUUCUCCAGCGGGGGAGAGAGAAUGGGAGAAAGAAACAAUAUUCCUGCCUUUAAUCUGGUGAGAAUAAUCAGGAAGGAUGGGUGAGAGGCACCACGCGUUCUGUGCUGUGCUUUUGAAAAGAGAACAAAACACCGUGUCCAGAGAUAAAUUGUCAUCGUCUGAAGCUCCAGUUUUCUUACAAAUUCUUAAGGAAAUGUUGCCCCCUUCUGGACAAAAGGUACAAUAGACAGCCGCCACAGCCUUGCCAUCCAACCUGUUUAUAAACUCAUCUACCUGCGUUAGUCAGGAAGGGUUUUGCUCUGGUGUCUUUUCUGUCACUAUGCCUAGACAACACUAAUUCACUUUUAAAAAGUCACUAUACCAGCACGAAUCAUAUGCAUAAGAGAUCAGAAAGCCCAUUUUACCAAUUAGGCAGAUUCUUCAAAACAGGAAUAAUCAAUCACGUUGACAAAGUUUACCAGAUUUUUUCAAUCUCAUUCACAGCCUCCUUACCUUCUAUAGGACUUGAGGAGAGGUGGAUAGAGUCUCAAUCAAGUUUUCAUUUAUCUCUGUUUAUUUUAUUAUUUAGUUUUAAAAUUAAUACUCUCUUUCAAAAAUGGGUUGAAAUUAGGCAUUUGGGAUUAACAUAGACACACUAACUAUAUAUAUAACAGAUAGCCAACAAAGACCUACUGUGUAGCACAGAGAACUCUGUUCGGUAUUUUAUAGUAACCUAUAAGAGAAAAGAAUCUGAAAAAGAAUAGACAUAUAUAUGUGUGGAUAACUGAAUCACUUGGCUGUACUCCUGAAAUUAAUAUGACAUUGUAAAGCAACUAUGCUUCAAUUUAACAAGAUAGAAAGAAAUGGGUUCGGGUUUGCUUAGCUAAAUAACCUUGAAUUUGAUUUUUUCAAUAGAUUUUAGUAUUUUAAAGUCAUAUACUUGGAGCAUUAGAAAAAUGAAAUGCCAAAGCUGAUAUCCUGACCCGAGUUAUAAGAUGCCCAUGCUUUACCUUCAUAGCGUGCCCCUCCCGGUAGUCACUUCACCAGCAAACGUGUUGUCAAUACACAAGGCAAUUGAAUGCACAUGUGUUUCUAUUUGACCACCUAUGUAUUUGCUCCUCUAAAGAAAAAUCAUAAUCGAAGAAGGAACCGGCAGCCUGCCCAGGACACGCCACCACCCCAAAAGCAGAAAGUCAUCUUUCUGCUGUUGAAGUCUCUAAUGUGAAGAAGCCUGCAAGCCCAGAAAGCUUAUUUCUCAGCUGAGUGACCACAGCAGAAAGGACCCACAUUCUUGUCUAAG
Long non-coding RNA from Bos grunniens (domestic yak), 2261 nucleotides. The record is from Ensembl. NCBI's taxonomy places the organism in Eukaryota, Metazoa, Chordata, Mammalia, Artiodactyla, Bovidae.